GUGGGGAAUAUUGGACAAUGGGGGGAACCCUGAUCCAGCCAUGCCGCGUGUGUGAAGCAGGCCUUUUGGUUGUAAAGCACUUUAAGCGAGGAGGAGGCUACCGAGAUUAAUACUCUUGGAUAGUGGACGUUACUCGCAGAAUAAGCACCGGCUAACUCUGUGCCAGCAGCCGCGGUCAUACAGAGGGUGCACGCGUUAAUCGGAUUUACUGGGCGUAAAGCGCGCGUAGGUGGCUAAUUAAGUCAAAUGUGAAAUCCCCGAGCUUAACUUGGGAAUUGCAUUCGAUACUGGUUGACUAGAGUAUGGGAGAGGAUGGUAGAAUUCCAGGUGUAGCGGUGAAAUGCGUAGAGAUCUGGAGGAAUACCGAUGGCGAAGGCAGCCAUCUGGCCUAAUACUGACACUGAGGUGCGAAAGCAUGGGGAGCAAACAGGAUUAGAAACCCUUGUAGUCC
This 451-nucleotide ribosomal RNA is filed under the name uncultured bacterium. RNAcentral describes it as "partial 16S ribosomal RNA". It matches the Rfam family "Bacterial small subunit ribosomal RNA", at positions 354 to 796 of the family's 1533-position model. The record is from RNAcentral.